UGAGGAAUAUUGCGCAAUGGACGAAAGUCUGACGCAGCCACGCCGCGUGCAGGAAGACACCCCUCAGGGGCGUAAACUGCUUUUAUACGGGAAGAACACCUCCUUCUAGGAGGUCUGACGGUACCGUACGAAUAAGGACCGGCUAACUCCGUGCCAGCAGCCGCGGUAAUACGGAGGGUCCAAGCGUUGUCCGGAAUCACUGGGUGUAAAGGGUGCGCAGGCGGGCGUGUAAGUCAGGGGUGAAAGCCACCGGCCUAACCGGUGAACUGCCCUUGAUACUGCACGUCUUGAGUCCCGGAGAGGCUAUCGGAAUUCGUGGUGUAGCGGUGAAAUGCGUAAAUAUCACGAGGAACACCUGAUGCGUAGGCGGAUAGCUGGACGGGUACUGACGCUCAGGCACGAAAGCGUGGGGAGCAAACAGG
RNAcentral lists this ribosomal RNA (422 nucleotides) under uncultured bacterium. RNAcentral's name for it is "bacterial SSU rRNA". It matches the Rfam family "Bacterial small subunit ribosomal RNA", at positions 355 to 776 of the family's 1533-position model. The record is from RNAcentral.